RNAcentral lists this non-coding RNA (203 nucleotides) under Anaerolineae bacterium. RNAcentral describes it as "SAM-I sequence". It matches the Rfam family "SAM riboswitch aptamer (S box leader)". Rfam says of the family: The SAM riboswitch is found upstream of a number of genes which code for proteins involved in methionine or cysteine biosynthesis in Gram-positive bacteria. The SAM riboswitch acts at the level of transcription termination control. Lineage: Bacteria; Bacillati; Chloroflexota; Anaerolineae. The record is from RNAcentral.
CUCUUAUCCAGAGAGGCGGAGGGACCGGCCCGAUGAUGCCUCAGCAACCUGUUUUAGUUCGGUAGUUGGAUAGUUAGGUAGUUCGAUAGUCAAGUACGCAACUAAACAACCACACAACUACAAAACUAUAGAACUAAAGCGAGGUGCUAAUUCCGGCAGUAGGGGUAAUCCUGUGAGAUUACCCAAAUUCUGGAAGAUGAGAG